AAAUGUCCUUAAGAAAGAUAAAGUGAUAUAACAGCUGAAAGAGGAAAAGCAACUGCUGAAGUAAGCCUCAGAAAAAGAACUGAGAAGGGAGUUAAAAGCUGUCCAGAAGAAAGAAGCAGCAAACAAGUUGAACUUAAAGGAGCUGAAUCCACAUGGAUCCCUGCCCAUGACCACUGCCAGGUGCCAAAGACUCCCAGGAUGUUUGAGUGUGAAGUGCCCGCUGUGCAGAUUUACCACUUCAGCAACAAGUGCUGAUUCUGUUCUCAAACCCACUUGAGUCUGGUAAAAUACAAAGUCAAAACAGAACCAAUUUCUUCCUGGAAUUGUUUCAGCAUGGGUUUUCUGCAAGUUUCAUCUUUGAAAGCCUCAUCAGUCCCCAUUUAUUGUGGUACUUGCUGUGUGUGAUGAGAACGAGGGAGUUUUGCACAUUUGGAGUGGCUGCUGUGUGUCUUAGCACCUCUUAUCCAGCUCUCCUGAGGAUCAGAGGAACAGGCAGCUGCUUUCUUCAUCCCUCCUCGUGUGGAUACUUCAGCAGUCACCAACUUUCACCCACCUUCAAAGGCAGGCGAGGGGCAGAUCGCCGAUGACUCUUCAUGCAACGAAAAACACCUAACAAAGAAAUGUGUGUAAAUGACUAUU
Athene cunicularia (burrowing owl) is the source of this 639-nucleotide long non-coding RNA. RefSeq lists it as uncharacterized. The transcript has 4 exons. The record is from RefSeq and is a predicted model, not a curated record. Lineage: Eukaryota; Metazoa; Chordata; Aves; Strigiformes; Strigidae.